Molecule: long non-coding RNA, 6786 nt
Filed under: Ricinus communis (castor bean)
Lineage: Eukaryota; Viridiplantae; Streptophyta; Magnoliopsida; Malpighiales; Euphorbiaceae
Description: long non-coding RNA (RCOM_LNC000794)
Source: RNAcentral
CCUCCUCCUUUUCCUUCCUCCCUUCCUUCUCCCUCUCCCCGUCGACUGUCUUCUUCCCCGCACCGCCUACGUGCCGCCCAGCUCGCCGCCGCCGUCGCCAGCGCCUUCCUCCCUUCCCGCCGCUCUGCAGUAGCUCCCUUCCCCUUUCCUCCUUUCCGUCGGCAUUGUCAAGAACAAGGGGGGGCUGCCUUCGCCGCUCGCCCUCUUGCCGGCAUGUUUUCGGAGAUCUGGCAUCGGAAAUGAGUUCCUCACCCCCGAAAACCCCGGAAGCAACCCUCCUCCGUCGGAAAUCCUUGCCGGCAGCCUUGGAAAGUGUCGCGUGAGCAGCGACUUUCCGGCCCCGAUCCGCCGCCUUCCGGCCACUUUCCGGCCAAAACUCUUGUACUUCCGGACUCCCCGCAACUUGAGCUUCGCGUAGGCGCUUCCGGAUUUGAAUUCCGACACUGUUGGCAGGACCGGCUUCCGGACCCCAGUGUUUUCUGGACGCGCGAAAUAUUUUAAUUUUUAACUCGAUAAUUCAGCCUCCCCGCCAGCUCCACCCGAGGCGUAGGAGCGGACUGCGGAACGCGUUAAAUCAGUGAUAGUAAAGACCUUCGCCAUCGCACAUUCGACAGUCCGACUUCUUCUUCUUCGGACUUUUGUAAUUAACUUGUACUUAUAUACUUGUCAUUUUUACUCUAGAGAAUCUGCAGUAGGAAAUUUUUAAAUUUAUAUAACUAUUCUGACUCCUGUUGGUAGUAUGAUGAUGUAUUAUGCAAGAUAAUUAUGACUACUUUAUAUUUGGUUAAUUGUAUAUAUGGAUUUGAGGGUUGGUAAGGCUUACUACGGGUUUCGGUGGCCUUAAGCCUACCCAUUCCCUAGUGCCGGUCAUGGGCCCCCAAGGUGGGUCGUGACAAAGUUGGUAUCAGAGCUUAGGUUUAGUUUUUCCUUCGACCUAGGUUAGCUUUCUAAACUACUGCGGAAACUAGGAUAAAUUGAGUAUGUCCUGGCAUGUUUCGUUGAUUCUAGUAUCUGCGCUAUCGUUAGAGAGUCUGUUGGGUUAAUAGCUUGUUGUUCAUUUUCAGCUCUUGCCAAUGCCGAGAACCCGAGCGACUGCAGCAUCGGCCCAGGAAGGCGAAGAUGAGUUUUCUGCUCAGACGGCUCCUCCGGACCCAGCCCAUGGUACCAGAAGGCGAGGUAGGCCUCGAGCAGCUGCCCAACCAGAUCAGGGCGAGGCUCAUGAGGUACAUGGUGCUGGUGAAAUCCCAGUGGAGGCUUUUGUGUCCAGUAUGACUGGGAUGCAGAGGGCCUUAGAGCAGUUGCUAGCCUUUCAGCAGCAGCAGGCUGCUCAGGGUGCAGGAAGCCGUGCUAGUGGGUCAGGUAUUAGGAAUCCGGACGAUGUCCCUAUGUCUGAGUAUACCAAGUUAAGACUUGUGGAGUUUGAUGGGACAGCUGGAGACCCUCUGGACUUUUUGGAUGAGGUUGAAAAGAGGGCGUCUGAUUUGCACUGUUCUGACAAGAGAACCAUCGAGAUGGCCGGGUUUUCCUUGAAGGGAAUAGCAUCCCAGUGGUUCAGAGAUUAUAUCCGCCCCUUUCUGGAUGGGUUGUCGUGGAGGCAAUUCAGAGACAGAUUCGAAGAGUACUUCAUCCCUUUCAGUGUAAGGCAGGAGUACAGGGAGAGGUUUGAAAGGUUAGUCAAGGGAGAAUCAUCUGUGGCUGAGUACACCAGGCAAUUUGUUCAGCUGAGUAGGUAUGCACCAUAUGCUGUGGGGACUAAGGAGCAGAAGAACAGCAAAUACAUUUCAGGGCUGGGCCCAGAGUUUGUUUCCUUGGUUCAAUCUAGGAGGAGCCGUUUCCUAGAAGUUACUGACAUGGCGAGGCAGAUGGAGAUGACGCUGCGAGGGUUUAGUCAAGGGACUGACGAUUAUAGGAAGAAGAAAACCAGGGUUGAGGGUCAGUCCAGUGCGCAGCCUGUCGUGCCGUACUAUGGUAGUGGAAGUUACUCUGGCGGUACCGACCAGCAGACCAGACAGAGAGGUCACCGUGUCCAAAGAAAGGGUAGGCAUAAUCGGAGGAGUAAUCGAGUAUUUCGACCUGGUCAGGGCUUCAGUGGUAGUGGGCAGAGUUCAGGCUACAGCAGCACUAGUUCUGGGGCCAGCACUUGUCGGAUGUGUGGCAGGUCACAUCAGGGACCGUGCCUAACGUCCAGUGGAGCCUGUUUUAGGUGUGGUGAGAUGGGACAUAUGGCUCGAGAGUGUCCUCGCUAUUUCGGUCGACCAGCUUUUCCGCAAGGCUCGUCCGCUAGUGCGACCCGACCAGCUUUUCCUGCAACCCCGGAACAUUUUCAAGAUGGAUCUCAGUUUGUUGGCCAGCAGGGUUGUAGUUUUGGAGGUAGAUCUUCAGGAGGCCGGUCUGGGGGCAGGGUUCAAGGUCGAGCUUCAGGGUCUCAACAGUCAGGCCGGGGGCAAGCUAGAGUGUUUACCCUUACUCCUCAAGAUGCGCGAGCCUCAAAUGCUGUGGUGUCAGGUACUAUUCUUGUUUGUCAUUCUGAGGCUAGAGUUUUGUUAGACCCUGGGGCUACCCAUUCUUUCGUAUCGCCUAGUUUUGCCUUAAGAUUGGAUGUCCAGCCCGUUAGGCUUCCAGUCCCGAUGUCGGUCACUACGCCGUUAAGUGAGGCCUUAGAGACCGAUGUCGUGUAUCCGUCGUGUCCGGUGUCUGUUGAGGGUCGAGAUUUGGUUGCUGACCUAAUUCUUUUAGAUGUAAUGGAUUUUAAUGUGAUUUUGGGAAUGGAUUGGUUAGCUUUGCAUUUCGCCAUGUUGGAUUGCCGGGAGAAACAAGUGACUUUUCGAAUUCCUAGAGACUCAGAGUUCUAUUUUAAAGGUGAGCAGAUUCGUUCUCCCACGAAUCUCGUGUCGGCGAUUACAGCUAGGCGGAUGCUUCGCCGCGGAUGUCAGGGAUAUUUGGCUUUGGUUAGGGAUACCUCGGCAAGGAAAGGUUGCGUCGAAGACGUUCCGGUGGUUUGCGAGUUUCCUGAUGUGUUUCCAGAAGAACUACCUGGAUUGCCGCCCAAUAGAGAGAUAGAAUUCUGUAUCGACGUGAUACCGGGUACAACACCUAUCUCUUUGCCGCCCUAUCGAAUGGCACCGGCCGAGUUAAGAGAGCUAAAGGAGCAGUUGCAAGACCUCCUAGAUAAGGGUUUCAUUAGACCUAGUACGUCUUCUUGGGGUGCUCAUGUUCUGUUCGUAAAGAAGAAGGAUGGUACCUUGCGUCUCUGCAUCGAUUACCGGCAACUGAAUAAGGCGACGAUUCGUAAUCGGUAUCCGCUUCCUCGCAUCGAUGACCUAUUCGAUCAGCUUCAGGGAGCGGUGUAUUUCUCCAAGAUUGAUCUACGAUCAGGGUAUCAGCAGUUAAGGAUCCGUGGUGAAGAUGUGCCAAAGACGGCGUUCAAGACGCGUUAUGGGCAUUAUGAGUUUCUGGUGAUGUCGUUUGGACUCACUAAUGCCCAUGCGGCUUUUAUGGAUUUGAUGAAUCGAGUGUUCAAGGAAUUUCUGGAUCGUUUUGUCAUCGUAUUCAUUGAUGAUAUCUUGGUUUAUUCCAAAAGCGAAGAGGAGCACGCGUGGCACUUGAGGAUAGUACUUCAGACUUUGAGGGAACAUCAAUUGUACGCUAAGUUCUCCAAGUGCGAGUUUUGGUUGGAAAGCGUUGCUUUUCUAGGGCACAUAGUGUCUAAAGAGGGUAUUCAAGUGGACCCUAAGAAAGUGGAGGCAGUGACUGAAUGGCAGAGGCCAACUUCAGUGACUGAAGUGCGUAGCUUUCUAGGGUUGGCAGGGUACUACCGUCGAUUUGUGCAAGACUUUUCGAGGAUAGCAGCGCCUUUGACUAAGUUGACUCAGAAAAAUGUCAGGUUUCAGUGGACUGACGCGUGUGAGAGAAGCUUUCAAAAGUUGAAGGACUGUUUGACUUCAGCUCCGGUGUUGACCUUACCUUCUGGGACUGGUGGAUUCACGGUGUAUUGCGACGCUUCUAGAGUGGGUUUGGGUUGUGUUCUGAUGCAAAAUGGAAAGGUAAUAGCUUAUGCGUCUAGGCAAUUAAAGAAGCAUGAACAAAAUUACCCGACCCACGAUUUGGAGAUGGCAGCAGUAAUUUUUGCAUUAAAGAUUUGGAGGCACUAUCUCUAUGGAGAGACGUGCGAGAUUUAUACGGAUCAUAAAAGCUUAAAGUAUAUUUUCCAACAGAAGGAUUUAAACCUGAGGCAGAGAAGGUGGUUAGAGCUUCUAAAGGACUAUGAUUGUAAUAUUCUCUACCACCCGGGUAAUGCGAAUGUUGUGGCUGAUGCUUUGAGCAGGAAGUCGGUAGGUAGUCUUGCUCAUGUCAGUGUAGAGAAGAGACCGCUGGCUGAAGGGUUGCAUGAACUGUAUGAUCAAGGGUUUCAGGUGGAAAUAUUAGAAUCGGGUGUGAUGUUAGCACAUUUCAGGGUUAGGUCUGUGCUUGUCGACAGAAUCAGGAUGGCUCAGAAUCGGGACCCACAGUUGCAGAAAAUCUUGGAAGAUGUGCAGUAGGGUCGAGCUAAUAACUUUGUUAUAAAUGAUGAUGGCACCCUCAUUAUACAACUUACAGCGUGCAUCCGGGCUCCACAAAGAUGUACCAUGAUUUGAAAGGAAAUUAUUGGUGGAGCGGGAUGAAGAGAGAUGUAGCAGAGUUUGUCUCCAAAUGUCUGACGUGUCAACAGGUUAAAUUAGAGCAUCAGAAGCCGUCUGGUUUACUACAACCGCUUCCUAUACCAGAGUGGAAAUGGGAAAGGAUUACUAUGGAUUUUGUAUCAGGUUUACCCAAGACUUUUGCUGGUUAUGACUCCAUCUGGGUAAUUGUGGAUCGAUUGACUAAGUCAGCGCAUUUUCUUCCGGUAAAGACUACCUAUUCUGUGGCUAAGUAUGCAAGAGUGUAUCUGGAAAGGAUUGUCAGUCUUCACGGCAUCCCGGUUUCUAUAGUGUCUGACAGGGGGCCGCAAUUUACUUCAAGGUUUUGGAAAAAGUUGCAAGAGGAACUUGGUACCAGGUUGGACUUCAGUACGGCCUUCCAUCCUCAGACGGACGGACAAUCAGAAAGGACUAUUCAGACCUUAGAGGAUAUGCUUCGGAUGUGCGUGAUAGACUUUGGUGGUCAAUGGGAUUGGUAUCUACCGUUGGUCGAAUUCGCGUAUAAUAACAGCUAUCAUGUAAGUAUCAAAAUGGCACCUUUCGAGGCCUUGUAUGGUCGGAAGUGUAGAUCCCCCAUAUGUUGGGAAGAAGUUGGUGAACGGAAGUUAGCAGGAUCGGAAUUGGUUCAGAUCACUUCAGAAAAGAUUCCGGUUAUUCGCGAGCGACUGAAGACAGCUUUUAGUAGGCAGAAAAGUUAUGCGGAUCCAAAGCGAAAGCACGUGGAAUUCAGUGUUGGGGAAUAUGUAUUCUUGAAGGUGUCUCCUAUGCGUGGUGUGUUGCGGUUCGGCAAGAAGGGCAAAUUGGCACCUCGUUAUGUGGGACCCUUUGAGAUUAUUGGCAGAAUUGGAGAUGUGGCAUACAAACUAGACNNNGAGAUGUGGCAUACAAACUAGACUUGCCACCGAACUUCUCGCACGUGCAUCCGGUAUUCCACAUAUCGAUGUUAAGAAAGUAUAUUUCAGACCCUUCGCAUGUGUUACAACCACAAAAUGUGGAAGUUGGUGAAGAUUUGACUUACGAGGAGCAGCCAGUCAGGAUUGUGGAUACUCAAGUUCGCCAGCUGCGCUCAAAAAAUUUUCCGAUGGUCAAGGUUUUGUGGCGAAAUCAUUUGUCUGAAGAGUGUACCUGGGAAACCGAGCAGGAAAUGAGAAGCCUCUACCCUCAUUUAUUUCAAUCCUAAGUGGGCCAUGGUUUAAAAUUCGAGGUCGAAUUUCUUUUCUAAGGGGGGUAGAAUGUAACACCCUUAGUUGUAAUAAUAAUAAUUUUAUAUAUAUAUAUAUAUAUAUAUAUUAAAAAAAAAAUCUCUCUCUCUCUUUUUCCCCUCCCCCUCCUCCUUUUCCUUCCUCCCUUCCUUCUCCCUCUCCCCGUCGACUGUCUUCUUCCCCGCACCGCCUACGUGCCGCCCAGCUCGCCGCCGCCGUCGCCAGCGCCUUCCUCCCUUCCCACCGCUCUGCAGUAGCUCCCUUCCCCUUUCCUCCUUUCCGUCGGCAUUGUCAAGAACAAGGGGGGGCUGCCUUCGCCGCUCGCCCUCUUGCCGGCAUGUUUUCGGAGAUCUGGCAUCGGAAAUGAGUUCCUCACCCCCGAAAACCCCGGAAGCAACCCUCCUCCGUCGGAAAUCCUUGCCGGCAGCCUUGGAAAGUGUCGCGUGAACAGCGACUUUCCGGCCCCGAUCCGCCGCCUUCCGGCCACUUUCCGGCCAAAACUCUUGUACUUCCGGACUCCCCGCAACUUGAGCUUCGCGUAGGCGCUUCCGGAUUUGAAUUCCGACACUGUUGGCAGGACCGGCUUCCGGACCCCGGUGUUUUUUGGACGCGCGAAAUAUUUUAAUUUUUAACUCGAUAAUUCAGCCUUCCCGCCAGCUCCACCCGAGGCGUAGGAGCGGACUGCGGAACGCGUUAAAUCAGUGAUAGUAAAGACCUUCGCCAUCGCACAUUCGACAGUCCGACUUCUUCUUCUUCGGACUUUUGUAAUUAACUUGUACUUAUAUACUUGUCAUUUUUACUCUAAAGAAUCCGCAGUAGGAAAUUUUUAAAUUUAUAUAACUAUUCUGACUCCUGUUGGUAGUAUGAUGAUGUAUUAUGCAAGAUAAUUAUGACUACUUUAUAUUUGG